ACGGGGUGCAGCAGGCGCGAAACCUCCUCAAUGCACUAACGUGCGAAGGGGUUACCUCGAGUGCCAUCUGAAAAAGGUGGCUUUUCCUUGGUCUAAAUAGCCUUGGGAAUAAGAGGGGGGCAAGACUGGUGUCAGCCGCCGCGGUAACACCAGCCCCUCGAGUGGUGGGGAUGAUUAUUUGGCCUAAAGCGUCCGUAGCCGGCCGGGUAAGUUUCCCGUUAAAUCCGACGUCUCAAGCGUUGGACCGCGGGAAAUACUGCCUGGCUAGAGAGUGGGAGAGGUAAGCGGUAUUCUGGGGGUAGGGGCGAAAUCCUUUGAUCCCCGGAGGACCACCAGUGGCGAAGGCGGUCUACCAGAACAUGUCCGACGGUGAGGGAUGAAAGCUGGGGGAGCAAACCGGAUUAGAUACCCGGGUAGUCCCAGCUGUAAACUAUGCAAACUCAGUGAUGCAUUGGCUUGAUGCCAAUGCAGUGCUGCAGGGAAGCCGUUAAGUUUGCCGCCUGGGAAGUACGUACGCAAGUAUGAAACUUAAAGGAAUUGGCGGGGGAGCAC
RNAcentral lists this ribosomal RNA (552 nucleotides) under uncultured archaeon. RNAcentral's name for it is "bacterial SSU rRNA". It matches the Rfam family "Archaeal small subunit ribosomal RNA", at positions 325 to 879 of the family's 1478-position model. The record is from RNAcentral.